GUUUCUGACUAAAUUUCUCUCAGUCUUCGGUCUCUUCCACGCCAUGGCUGCUCAGAUGUAGAAGUAAUUUCAAGCUGGAAGAUAUGUUGAAGUCACUGAAAAUUGUGGAACAAGAACCGACAAGAUGAACAGGGCAGUCGAAUUUUGUAUUACUAAGCUCAUUCCAAUGCAUUUUUGUUGAUGUGGGACAUUUAAACUUAUAACAGCCUUUGAACAUUGUCAAGAUUGGCAAGGUUCUCUUGUUUUGGAUGGAUAGGCCAUUUUGUUAGAAACAUGGAUAUGAAUGUAGUCAUGUUUGUGCUAUAAUCUGACUCAUGAUGCUAGAGGAUAAAAGGCAGGACACCAAGAGGGGACUUUUCUAUUUUUAUCAAAAUGUAACAGAUAUAGCUGAUUGUAGCCCUUAUGAUACAGACUCUGUAUGAUAUGGGCAUCCAGCUAUUGACUGGUCUCUUGUGAUCUUAUUGUAUAUGAAUUUCUAGCUUAUAAAAUAUGCCUUUAUUGUAUUUCUCUUAUCCUGUUGGCAUUAUAACUAAGUUGGGAUUCUUCCAUGCUUCUCAGUUUCAUGUCCUAAGCCUGAAACAACUGCAUAUAUGGAGCUGAGCUUUUUGACCCAAACCUACAUGAAAUGUAGCCAUCGAAAAACAUUAUGUGAACUUUGCAAAUCAGUGCCAUAAUACACACCAGGUUGGAUUUGUGUGAUGACCCACUUGGAUUUGAGUGCUUUCCAUAACGGUCAUGGGUUCACUCUCAUCACCAACCACACCUUACUGAAAUUUAGUUCAUCAUUUACACUUAAAGAGUUGGUUGCUUUUACUCAUGCUGAUCUGCACAACUAGAAGCUACAUAUUCCUUGCACACAUCCCGUAUUAUGGACCAUAUCUAGCAUUGGUACAAAAGUAUCGGGUUUCGUCUCAGAUUCUAGUGAGAUUGUACUGUUAUUUGAGAUAAUAUCUAAUCCUGCUAUUCAACUUCUUUCCUAGAAUUAGUCUCUUGCAUAAAACAAGAGUGAGUUUGUCCGAUUAUUUUUGCAGAGCUGCUGCUGCUGCAUUGUUGUAUUUUAUUUGUUUUCUUUUUUUUCUUUUUGAGAAUAGAAUCUGACUCUUAAUCUUCAAAAAAAAAAAAAAAAGGUGAGGUAUUUGGAUUGCUUCAGAACUGAUGUUUCAAUCAGUAAACACGCCAACUUCCUUAAAUUCCUUGUACCCUUCAGCUUCAUAAUCCAUUCAGUCUACAAACCAAGUCUCUAGUGUGGUGUCGGUUCCUAGUCCAUGUGAUGACCUUCCAUGAUUUUCCAUUCAAUGCCCAAUAGGCACUUUUAAUGCUCUGGUUGAAAUUAACGAAAAUUGCAUUGAGUUCUCAUUGAUAACCAAUAUUGCAUUGAGUUCUCAUUGAUAACCAAUAUACAUCAGUGCUCCUCUCACUAUUCUAUUUUAUAAUGGUUUGAAUACAGAACAAUCCUCAUGCACUAACCUUUUUCCCAGGUCAACGGGAUGGCCAGUGGAUGGCCACUUGGGUUGGAGAACAUGAACAUGAGACUUAGGCUGAUGGAUGCCUCGCAAGCUGCCUCUUUCAAUCCCAACUCCUUCAACAUGCGCUCAAUCAGUUCCUCUUCAUUAUCAUCCUCUGACCUUGACACUGAGUCCACAAAAUCCUUCUUCCAAGAACAUAGCAGUGUGACAUUGGGAAGACUUAUAGGGAUAAAACCAGGGGAUGGGGACUUGUAUUUCACUAGCUCGGGUCACCACGAGGAACAUGGCCGGGUAUCCAUUGUAAGAGUUGCUUCACAUGCUUCAGAGAGGCACAAAACGGAAGUGUGCCAAGGCAUAUGUGUACCUUUGAUACUGAGUAUUCUUGUAAAGAUGACCCGGGCCAGAAACAGUUCAGGACGUUGAAGUAGGCUGCCAAGCUGGUAACAUUGAGAAGUCUCGUCUAUCAUUUGCAUUUGUGCUGAUGAGUGUGAUUUUGAACUGGUCAUUUCAGUUCAGCUUGAAGAGGGUGUUAUAAUUUCCAUGUGGAAGAAAUUUUCGAGUAUUUUCUUGGUUCUUUUUAGGUGAAGAAAGCCAUCUUGGCAUGAAUGAUAAUCGUCUUGGUAUUACUGAAAAAUCUGAUCAAGGAAUCAGUUUAGUCCAUAAUUCUUCUGUAACAUGAUGUUUACAUGUGCAGCAACGAAUCUCAUUCUCAAUACAAUUUUUACUUCU
RNA transcript from Magnolia sinica, 2195 nucleotides. RefSeq lists it as uncharacterized. The record is from RefSeq and is a predicted model, not a curated record. NCBI's taxonomy places the organism in Eukaryota, Viridiplantae, Streptophyta, Magnoliopsida, Magnoliales, Magnoliaceae. The transcript has 3 exons.